AGAAAGUCUGGUUUCCGUGUCUAACGUUUGACCGUCCGUCUUAUUUGAAAAAAUUAUAAAAAAAAUUAAAAAGACAAGUCACACAUAAAAUAUUAAUCACGUUUUAUCAUCUAACAAUAAUAAAAUAUAAAUUAUAAAAAAAUUUUAUAUAAGACGAAUAAUUAAAGUUGAAUACGAAAAGCCAGUGUUUACAUUUUUU
Molecule: microRNA precursor, 199 nt
Organism: Oryza rufipogon (brownbeard rice)
Lineage: Eukaryota; Viridiplantae; Streptophyta; Magnoliopsida; Poales; Poaceae
Rfam family: MIR812 microRNA precursor family
Source: Rfam